GGUUGAGUGGUCUAGCGGUUAUGAUUUCUGUCUAACAGUCUGGGUAUACGCCACCCUGCAAUUAACUUCACACAGAAGGUUCCCAGUUCGACCCUGGGCUCAAUCA
Sistotremastrum niveocremeum HHB9708 is the source of this 106-nucleotide non-coding RNA. The record is from the annotation of a GenBank genome assembly. NCBI's taxonomy places the organism in Eukaryota, Fungi, Basidiomycota, Agaricomycetes, Sistotremastrales, Sistotremastraceae.